GAUGAACGCUGGCGGCGUGCCUAAUACAUGCAAGUCGAGCGAACAGACGAGGAGCUUGCUCCUCUGACGUUAGCGGCGGACGGGUGAGUAACACGUGGAUAACCUACCUAUAAGACUGGGAUAACUUCGGGAAACCGGAGCUAAUACCGGAUAAUAUAUUGAACCGCAUGGUUCAAUAGUGAAAGACGGUUUUGCUGUCACUUAUAGAUGGAUCCGCGCCGCAUUAGCUAGUUGGUAAGGUAACGGCUUACCAAGGCAACGAUGCGUAGCCGACCUGAGGGGGUGAUCGGCCACACUGGAACUGAGACACGGUCCAGACUCCUACGGGAGGCAGCAGUAGGGAAUCUUCCGCAAUGGGCGAAAGCCUGACGGAGCAACGCCGCGUGAAUGAUGAAGGUCUUCGGAUCGUAAAACUCUGUUAUUAGGGAAGAACAAAUGUGUAAGUAACUAUGCACGUCUUGACGGUACCUAAUCAGAAAGCCACGGCUAACUACGUG
Molecule: ribosomal RNA, 497 nt
Filed under: uncultured bacterium
Lineage: Bacteria
Description: partial 16S ribosomal RNA
Rfam family: Bacterial small subunit ribosomal RNA
Source: RNAcentral